UGGGCAAUCUGUGCCUGUACAGGUGCUGAGAGGACAUAGAAGGAAACGCCACGUUCGAGUGGAAUUGGGGCUGCUCUACUGUUAUCGACAUUGGACUAUGAAGCUUCGGAAGCAGGACUACAUGAUCAGGAACGACAGGAUCGCUAGUCCAGGCAGCGGGACUCCAUCAUAAUGAUUCCAUCACUGGCCUACUGACAGACGCAGCAGUGGCUGCCCGGCCUUCUUGAUGCACGAGCUGAACGGCAGUAUGGGGAAGAUCUAGGUCCACCACGCUUUCCAGGCAUCAAAAAGAGUUUAGGAGAAUAGGAAAAAUAAUAGAAAAUAAUAAGUUAUAAACAUAAUCCAUGCAUGGCUGGUACACUUUUGUGCUAAACUAUUUCCUGGAGAUCCUUCACUAUUGCUCAAGCCACCAAAUUUUGUGAGGGCAUUGUAUUAUCAAUACAAGUAGAUCUACAUCAAAAUUGGAGGUAUAAAGAAUCAAAAAGAGGUUGAUGGUAGAAGAGAAAGAAGAAAGGAGUGUAUCUUCCUGUGAUAAUGGCAGACUCACAUUACUGAGAUAUGCGUGUUCUUCAUUCUCUCAUUUGUGUUCUACUUGGUUGCUAUACAAUUCCAUUCCCGGUUCCCAAAAUUACACUUCCAAUCAUCAAUUAGGGACAUAAUGUCAGGGCAAGGCUGGAAGUGGUACAAGAACAGUAAAUAGUAAUGUAUUUUCACUUUUGUUAGCAAUUUUCACAUUUUUAUUAAGUGAUU
Molecule: long non-coding RNA, 750 nt
Organism: Amphimedon queenslandica
Lineage: Eukaryota; Metazoa; Porifera; Demospongiae; Haplosclerida; Niphatidae
Exons: 4
Source: RefSeq, a predicted model, not a curated record